CAGUCGCCACGGGAACACGGAGGGUGCAAGCGUUAAUCGGAAUUACUGGGCGUAAAGCGCACGCAGGCGGUCUGACAAGUCAGAUGUGAAAUCCCCGGGCUUAACCUGGGAACUGCAUUUGAAACUGUCAGGCUGGAGUCUUGUAGAGGGGGGUAGAAUUCCAGGUGUAGCGGUGAAAUGCGUAGAGAUCUGGAGGAAUACCGGUGGCGAAGGCGGCCCCCUGGACAAAGACUGACGCUCAGGUGCGAAAGCGUGGGGAGCAAACAGGAUUAGAUACCCCUGUAGUCCCUGUCUCUUAUAC
This 301-nucleotide ribosomal RNA is filed under the name uncultured bacterium. RNAcentral's name for it is "partial 16S ribosomal RNA". It matches the Rfam family "Bacterial small subunit ribosomal RNA", at positions 509 to 807 of the family's 1533-position model. The record is from RNAcentral.